RNAcentral lists this ribosomal RNA (941 nucleotides) under Leuconostoc mesenteroides. RNAcentral describes it as "bacterial SSU rRNA". It matches the Rfam family "Bacterial small subunit ribosomal RNA", at positions 59 to 979 of the family's 1533-position model. The record is from RNAcentral. Lineage: Bacteria; Bacillati; Bacillota; Bacilli; Lactobacillales; Lactobacillaceae.
AAGUCGAACGCACAGCGAAAGGUGCUUGCACCUUUCAAGUGAGUGGCGAACGGGUGAGUAACACGUGGACAACCUGCCUCAAGGCUGGGGAUAACAUUUGGAAACAGAUGCUAAUACCGAAUAAAACUUAGUGUCGCAUGACACAAAGUUAAAAGGCGCUUCGGCGUCACCUAGAGAUGGAUCCGCGGUGCAUUAGUUAGUUGGUGGGGUAAAGGCCUACCAAGACAAUGAUGCAUAGCCGAGUUGAGAGACUGAUCGGCCACAUUGGGACUGAGACACGGCCCAAACUCCUACGGGAGGCUGCAGUAGGGAAUCUUCCACAAUGGGCGAAAGCCUGAUGGAGCAACGCCGCGUGUGUGAUGAAGGCUUUCGGGUCGUAAAGCACUGUUGUAUGGGAAGAACAGCUAGAAUAGGAAAUGAUUUUAGUUUGACGGUACCAUACCAGAAAGGGACGGCUAAAUACGUGCCAGCAGCCGCGGUAAUACGUAUGUCCCGAGCGUUAUCCGGAUUUAUUGGGCGUAAAGCGAGCGCAGACGGUUUAUUAAGUCUGAUGUGAAAGCCCGGAGCUCAACUCCGGAAUGGCAUUGGAAACUGGUUAACUUGAGUGCAGUAGAGGUAAGUGGAACUCCAUGUGUAGCGGUGGAAUGCGUAGAUAUAUGGAAGAACACCAGUGGCGAAGGCGGCUUACUGGACUGCAACUGACGUUGAGGCUCGAAAGUGUGGGUAGCAAACAGGAUUAGAUACCCUGGUAGUCCACACCGUAAACGAUGAACACUAGGUGUUAGGAGGUUUCCGCCUCUUAGUGCCGAAGCUAACGCAUUAAGUGUUCCGCCUGGGGAGUACGACCGCAAGGUUGAAACUCAAAGGAAUUGACGGGGACCCGCACAAGCGGUGGGAGCAUGUGGGUUUAAUUCGAAGCAACGCGAAGAACCUUACCAGGU